CAGGGAGAGUACGGUGGAAUGGAGCAAGGAGGAGAAGGAGGAGAGGGUUAUUAGUCGUCAUCUGUGGACCCUUUGCCUCCCUCACCUCGCUGUACCCGACUCCAGAUGUCCAACAUAUUUUUUUGUGACUUUAUGGAACCAAAAUCAGAACAGACUCUUCCAGAUGCUGCACCUCAGCCCCCACCCCCGUUACACCGCCACUCUCACCUCUUUGACCCCACCAUCAAAGUUUCUGCAGCCUGUAGCUUUCCCUCUAACUGUGUCUCAGUGUAACCCUGAUGUUGUUGCCACCCCGCUUCUGCCAAAACCAUGGAACGAAUCUCAAACACAAACACACACGUUCACACGACCAAAAGCAGACAAACCUUUUCUGGGCGUGUAUAAAACACAAACCAGCCGAUCACACAUGAAACACACGAGUGACUGUAGAGUACAUGGGUCUAAAUGCAGAAAAUCCUGUUCAAAUCAAGAAACACAAAGUGAAACUGAGGGAGUGUGCACGAGUGGGUGUGUGAGUUGCAGCCUGUGUGUCCAUGUUAGCUUGUGUGCACGUGUAGCUGCUGAUGUAUAUUUCAUUCUCCAGGGUCAAAGGCAGGGAUUUGUGCAUGAAAGACAGAAAUCACUCUGUUACUCGUGCUUUAGUGACAGUAGAAUGCAUGAGCAGACGUGUUGUUGCCUUUAGAUCAGUUGUUCUGUGUAGCUAAGUCUGGCUUUGUGUGUCUGUGUGUGCAGGUGCGCAGUGUGUGUGUUUUGCCUCAGCACUUUAUACAGUGGAAGCAACAAAACUGUAAAUUUAUCUGGCAACUUGUGUGAUGCAUGAGAUUUCGAGAGCGCUUUCAAAUCUUGGCCGCGACACCGAGUCUGGAAAAGUCGACGCAGAAAAAUCAGUACGCGAUUAACAAUCAGUAAACCUGAACUCUGAUCUCCUCGCCCUGAAUCCAACUGGCUUUGAAGAAAGACAAGAAGUAUUAGCAUUAUCUGACAUAUGGUUUUAUUAUUUCCACUGCCAAGCUGAGGUUUAAGAACAUUUGGGGGAGGGUUAGUUAAAGAUGGAUUAAUUAAUUGACCACUUAAAAAAAUUCAAAUCAUCAAUCUGCCAUCCUGUAUAGAUUUAACCAAUUAGAAAGAGAUAACGUGAAGACGCAGCAGCUGACUUUAGUUUGUUGAAGUGAAAAUUAUCUUCUAUGAACUACUUUUUGCUGUUCUUCUACAGCUGUAGUGUCGAAACAUGUUGACAAAUGGGCCCAAAUCUUCAAGUUCCAAGUAAAAUAACUUGAAUAUCUGAUAUUUGUUGAAACAUAUACCUCAUUUUUGGUGAAUUAUUUCCAUUUUUGAACUCAGCAACAACAGAAACACAAUAUUUAUGGUGAAAGGACAAAUGUAUACCAAUUUUAGUGGGAACAAAGUUCCAUUCUAGAUCCAAAACAUAAAAAAAACAUCUCAAACACUAAAAAAAGAAGCCUUUUUUUUUUUUUGGCUCUAUUGUUCUCUUUUUUGUGUGUUGUGUGGAUUGCAAUGAUUAAAGCAACACCAGUUUUAUUCCGCAAAAGCACGACAAGUUUUAUAGAAGGGCAUCAAAAGUCUACUUCUUGGUAAAAGCUAAUAAAGGUUAGUGGUGUAUUUUUUUUUAAACCAUGGAAUUGGAAUAAAAAGUAAUUAGAAAAGAAAAACUUAAAUUUGUACCAUAUGAGGUUAAAUUUAAUCCAGUUUUCUGUUUAACCCAAAAACAAUAACAAUAAUAACCUCCCUUAUAAUUAGCAAAAAAUAUGUCUAUCAGCAUCAACUUUUCAAUCCCUAAUUAUCCCACUCUGAAGGCCCGUUAUGGUCCUCAAACUUAACUUUGGCCACCCCUGAAGGCAGCGCUUCCCCUACUUUAGCAUUAAAAAGGCAAAUUAAAAAAUGAAUACUAUGCUUCCAGGGUUUGGUUGGGAUUAAGACGUUUAAAUAUUUAGAUUUCUUUAAUUCAGAUAAGGCAUUUAUUUCUCUAUCAGGGCUGGUAAAAGUUACAGAAGAGGACCUAAAAUAAAAAAAAAACUUGAUCCAAGCCAUGGGCCAAUUUCAGUCAAUGCAUUAGCUCGAGGCUGAUAUUCAACGUUUUCUAUGUCGCAGGUUCAUCGACAAGAGUUUGAUCGGUCUCAUUUGAUGGUCGCUCCUUCCAUGUCAAAAUCAGAUUCCAACCUUUUUUCUGUCUUCAAAGUUAAACAGUCUGAAGAAGUCUCCAUUAAUUCAAGUAUGUUGUGUUUUUAAGCAGUUAAGCGAUAAAAAAAACCCACUUUACAUUUAAAAUAUCAUCUCGGGGGCCAAAUAAGAUGUUAACAGGGGCCAGAUUUGGUCCGCGGGCCUCGACUUUGACACGUGCUCUAUAGGAGGAGUUUGAGGAAGAAUGAAGGUUUGGGUUUCAUCACACUUUAGCUGAUAUGUGUCUACGUUAUGUCUUAUUCCUACUGUUCUCAUCCCUCUGCUGCCUCUGCCAAUCAGAGUUCCUCUUUUGCCAUUACCGAGUGUCACGCCACCUUCCACUGCAGAUAAUCUGCCCAGCAUCAGUGUAGUGUGUGUGUGUUACUGUAGAACAGGUUCAGCCAGCUGAAUUUUUACUUUAAUUGAAACCGAUGACUGCAUGUUGCCUUACCAACAAACGUCACUCAAACGCACACAAAGAAAACACAACACCUACACUGACACAUGCACAUAGCCAAUGUCGUGCACCACGUUUUAGGUUGGCAUCAGCUCAGACUGAUUUUAUAAACGGUACCUGUGAAAAUAAAAAUGUUUUGUUGAAAUCCAGCUGCGGCGUUGAGAGUUCAUUGGUGUCCAGGUUGAUGUCACCAAAAAAAAAAAAAAAA
Long non-coding RNA from Nematolebias whitei (Rio pearlfish), 2843 nucleotides. RefSeq lists it as uncharacterized. The record is from RefSeq and is a predicted model, not a curated record. NCBI's taxonomy places the organism in Eukaryota, Metazoa, Chordata, Actinopteri, Cyprinodontiformes, Rivulidae. The transcript has 2 exons.